CUCUCUCUAUCUAUCUAUAUAGACCGAUCUGCGCGUUAUCAGAUCUUUCUAGAGUAUUCGAUUUCCAUCGCCUCUCCUUGCGACGAAGAAGGAAAUAUGAGUAGCCGUGCCAGUCGAACCCUCUACGUUGGUAAUCUCCCUGGUGAUAUUCGUGAGAGGGAAGUAGAAGAUCUGUUUUACAAGUAUGGGCCCAUUGUUGACAUUGAUCUGAAAAUCCCUCCAAGGCCUCCGGGAUAUGCUUUUGUUGAGUUUGAGGAGGCUCACGAUGCUGAAGAUGCUAUUCGUGGUCGCGAUGGCUACAACUUUGAUGGUCAUAGGUUACGGGUGGAGCUUGCACAUGGUGGGAGAGGCCAAUCUUCAUCAUAUGACCGCCAUAAUAGCUACAGCGGCAGUGGGGGUGGUCGUGGUGGUGUUUCCAGGCGCUCUGAUUAUCGUGUGUUAGUAACUGGAUUACCCUCUUCUGCUUCAUGGCAAGAUCUAAAGGAUCACAUGCGUCGAGCUGGUGAUGUUUGUUUCUCCCAGGUGUUCCGUGAUGGUGGUGGCACCACAGGCAUUGUGGAUUACACAAACUAUGAUGACAUGAAAUAUGCUAUAAGGAAGCUUGAUGAUUCUGAGUUCCGGAAUGCAUUUUCUCGGUCGUAUAUAAGGGUGAAGGAGUAUGAAUACAGGCGGAGCUUAUCUAGGAGCCUUAGCCGUAGUCGAUCCUACUCCAGAAGCAGAAGCCCUAGUCGCAGUCGAAGCUACAGUAGAAGCAGAAGCCCUAGUCGUAGUCUUAGCUACAGCAGAAGCAGAAGCCGGAGCAAGUCUCCUAAAGUCAAAUCUUCACGCCUUUCCGUGUCUAGAUCUCGAUCUAGAUCGGUUUCUUCUCGCUCUCGUUCAGGGUCAAAGCCACGCUCCUUGUCAAGAUAACGGAUCAUGCGGCGAAUUGGGGAUUGCAUGUUAGGAACUUGAUGGGAUUUGGUGCGAAUGCCUGGAACUCGUUUUGGUUUUGGAGCAGAUCCCCAUCAGUGCGUAGUGGGCGGGGAAGGAUGGGUUGUACUAUUAAAGCUCGAUUUCCUUGAACUAAGUGGUGUUGGGACUUACAAUCAACAGUAGAAACAGACUCCAAUUCCUCCAUCGUCAUGCUAACACGAGUUGCGGUCAGGAUUCUGGAUGUGGAUUUUGGUGAUACAAUCAGAAAAAUGUUCCCUGUCUUACGUGUCGAUUCCUCUGUUCUUCUUUGCAACAUUCACUUCAUCCGAUCAUUGGCAGCGGUCUAUUUACUUGCUUUGAUUAAUGGGUGCCGUUUCAUGGCGAAGUUCCAGUUUAAAAUAAUGUCGAAAGUGGACUGUGUAAAAUUUAAUGCUUUUACAUGUUGAAUGAUGCUAAAAAGUGUGGACUUUCAUGAUUUUGAGAAUAUGGUAACUCGACGUGGAAGAGGCGUUGAGGCUUUUGGACCAAAAGCUGUCAAAGCAACGUUUGUGGAUAUUGAAUUCAGUUGUUUCUGGAACUUUUGCAGAUCCCGAUCAAGAUCCAAAUCCCUGUCACACUCCCCUCCUCGCCACAAACGAGCCAGUAGAACCCCAAAGAAGCGGAGCCCCAGCAAGAGCCGGAGCAGGAGUCAUAGCAGGAGCCUAUCUCGGUGAGAUAUGAGGUGGCAGCUGAGAUGUUGAAUUCUGAUAUCAUAGUGCAUACUGCGGGCUAUGCCUAUCCUCGUUAAGUGUCAUCGAUAAACAAUCUUCGUGAGACCAGUUUAGGACCUGUUCGUAUAAGAGCUGAUGGAUUAUCUGAGCUGUUGGAGUAUAUGUAGACGUUAAGGACCAGUUAGGACCUGUUCGUAUGACCUGUUCGUAUGAGAGCUGAACCACUGUUUGAAUGUAACCUUGCCUGCAUCUCUAUCUAUUUACUUUUUGCUGUGAUUGCACA
RNA transcript from Magnolia sinica, 1905 nucleotides. It is a transcript of the gene named serine/arginine-rich splicing factor SR34B-like, with no coding region annotated. The transcript has 15 exons. NCBI's taxonomy places the organism in Eukaryota, Viridiplantae, Streptophyta, Magnoliopsida, Magnoliales, Magnoliaceae. The record is from RefSeq and is a predicted model, not a curated record.